Piliocolobus tephrosceles (Ugandan red Colobus) is the source of this 2212-nucleotide long non-coding RNA. RefSeq lists it as uncharacterized. The record is from RefSeq and is a predicted model, not a curated record. NCBI's taxonomy places the organism in Eukaryota, Metazoa, Chordata, Mammalia, Primates, Cercopithecidae. The transcript has 3 exons.
UAGACUGUUGCAGGGAUGGUCCCCCAGUUGUUUACACCUUACCUAUCUUCACACCCUUGGCUGCCCUCUUCUCACAUUGAUUCUGGGCUCAGUCACAUGACGUACUUUGGCCAACAGACCAUCAGCAAACGUGACAGAUACUUAUAAAAUACUUCUGCACUGGGUUUGUGCGCCCUCUCUUGUUCUCCUUGGAACCCUCAUGUGGAAAGCCCGGGCUGGGCUGCAGUAGCACGCACGGACACACACGGAGCACGAGUGAGCUGUUCCUGCCCAGACCUCUCCAGACCCAGCAGCCUCCCAACCACCAGACAGGCGAGGGAGGGCCUCUCUGCCCAUCCAGCCCGGGCUGUGCUAUCCACACCAGAAGAAAUACCCAGAAGACCCACAGGAUCAUAACAUUCUGAAAACUGCUUACUUGUGCCUGAAGAACCAGGUAUCCUGGAGUGAAGAGGGGGAGAAGUACCAGGUGCAAGACCAUCUGAGAGUCAGAAAUCAUUGAAAUCUCACAUUUGCAUUUUGUGCUUGGCUCUAGGAAAAGCCCUCAGGGAAGGGGCCCAGCUGCCAAGAAGUUUCCCAACAUCGCUGCCACCCUCACCGUACCUGUUCCUGGCCCAAGUGGAGGCCCCAGUGGGAAACAUGUGUGCUGUCUCACUUUCAUCUGGGAGCUGGAACGUUCUGGAAGGUUUGUUCCUAUGCGGGACAAGCCAAGAACUCUAAGGAGUUCUAAGCUAAGUUCUCUAAGCCGAGAACCCUGCAGAGUGCGGGGAGCACAGUGAGAUGCAGCUGAUGACAGCUGUCACAAACAUUGACCACUGAAUUUAGAAAACAGGGGGAACAGGCAUGGGUCACUUAUCAGUACUUUACCCCAGUGGGCGGGGUUCCGGUGAAAGUAGUCAAGGAGGGGAAGCUCAGCAAAGAGGACACAAAGGAUAUUUUAUUUAACCAAGAGCUUCUCCUCCUCAAGGGCUGUAGACAUAAAAAGGCAACAUUUUCCCAGCAGACUAGGAAAGUGUUAAAUUAUACUGGUGUUUACUCUCUCAUUUCCAAGGCCUGGAAGCGGAUGGGAUAUUUAUUUUUAUUAUCUCUCUGAUGUGUUUAGAGACCCUAAUGAGGGCAGAAAGUAAACAAACAUUUGAUUGAAAACAGAGAUGUCAAUAUGCACCCUCUACCUAUUGUUGAUACAGAAGAAAGCAAUUUCAAUAAGAUUGAAACAAUUAGACUUGAAGAUUGCUGUAUGCAAACCACAUGAAAAUGGCAGCCUACUGCUCAGUGUGUAGAAAAAAAUAAACCACUGUCUGUUGGUGGUUUUUUCUUCUGAUUAUAUUAAAGUAAAUGCUUGCAUGUUAUAUUUACUGAAGUUGAAAACUGUACUGAGGUUAUGUAAGAGAAUAUUCCUAUUCUUAGGACACAUACACUGAAGUAAUUGGUAAAAUACCACGAAGAAUGUAACUUGCCCUCAAAUGGUUCAGAAAAAUAUUAUGUGUGACUAUUAAAAAUAUAUCUGGAUCGGUCUCUCUCUCUCCCAUUGCCUAUCCCCAAAAAACAGAAGGACAAAGCAAAUGGAGUAAAAUGUUAACAAUAGUUGGGCCAGGACAAUGGCUCACACCUAUAAUCCCAGCACUUUGGGAGGCUGAGGCUGGAGCAACAUUCAAGGCCAGGAAUUCGGAUCAGCCUGGGCAACACAGCAAGACCUCUAUCUGCCUCCCCUCCGCCCAAAAAAUUAAAAAAUUAGCUGACGUAGUGGUAUACACUUGCAGUCUCAGCUACUCCGGAGGCUGAGGUGAAAGAAUUGCUUGAGUCAGGAGUUCCAGGUUACAGUGAGCUAGGACUGUGCCCCUGCACUCUAGCCUGGGCAACACAGCAAGACCCUGUUUCAAUAAAUAAAUGUUGAAUUUGGGUACAGGCUAUAGAACGUUCUUUGUGCUAUUCUUAUUUUUGAUGUUUUUGGAAAUUUGAAAUUAUUUCCAAAUAAGUUAAAAGUCAUAUAAAAUCAAAUGAAGCUGUAAGAAAAUCACUGAGGUUUCACAAGCAUUCCAAAAGCAUCCUGGUAAGUGCUGGAUACCAGACUCUCAAUUUAACAAGCUGCCCGGGCUAAAAUCCUCGUCUUUUUAAAUUAAAAAAAUUUUUUUUGAGAUGGGGUUCUCACUCUGUUGCCCAGGCUGGAGUGCAGUGGAGAGAUCUCAGCUCACUGCAACCUCUGCCUCCUAGGCUU